Molecule: ribosomal RNA, 497 nt
Filed under: uncultured bacterium
Lineage: Bacteria
Description: partial 16S ribosomal RNA
Rfam family: Bacterial small subunit ribosomal RNA
Source: RNAcentral
GACGAACGCUGGCGGCGUGCCUAAUACAUGCAAGUAGAGCGAACAGACGAGGAGUUUGUUCUUUUGACGAUAGCGGCGGACGGGAGAGUCACAUGUGGAUCCUCCCCCUAUAAGACUGGGAAAACUUCGGGACAAUGGCGAUAACACCGGAUAAUAUAUUGAACCGUAUGGUUCAAUAGUGAAAUACGGUUUUGUUGUCACUAAUAGAUGGUUCCGGGCAGUAUUAGCUAGUUGGUAGGGUAACGGCUUACCAAGGCAAUGAAGCGUAGCCGACCUGAGAGGGGGUUCGGCCACACUGGAACGGAGACACGGUCCAGACUCCUACGGGAGGCGGCAGUGGGGAAUCUUCGGCAUUGAGCGAAAGCCGGACGGAGCAACGCCGCGUGGGUGAUGAAGGUCUUCGGAUCGUAAAACUCGGUGAUUGGGGAGAAACAGAGUUGUAAUUAACAGUGCACGUCUUGACGGUACCUAAUCAGAAAGACACGGCUAACUACGUG